UCAUGUCUCCUUGACCAGCAUCAGGGCGCAUGCUCCCUCCUGAUGGACAAGAGGAUGAGAUUGCUGCCACUUCUUCGGGCUAAGAAGGAUUCCUACGCCAGGUGCACAGGAGCCCUGGCCGGCCGGCCUGCCUUGUAGGAACCCCAUGUGGCCGGCCAGAUUCGGGAGUGGGGGAGAGUCCUAGAACUCACGACUGCCCCUCCUACAAGUGUGGGUGAGGCAGACCCUCAAAGAAGAAAGGAGGGAGGAAGAAGAAGGAGACCAUGCUGUCUGGAAGCACAGACCAGAAGGUGGAGCGUGGGGUUUGAUCGUGUGUGCAUUAGAGCUGUAACUCCGUGAAAUGUCAUGCUCCUUCUCCCGUUCUCUGCUGUCUUCUUACGGCACCGUUGUGCAGGACCUCAAGAGGACAAAUUCAUCCUGGGACCAUUUCUCAUUCUCUGCCAGGUGGCUCUGGUGGCUAAAGUCUUCUGGGAACCCCCGAGCCCCUAGCACCCUGAGCCCACAUGGGAUCUGUCAGGGAAGAAGCCACUCCGGGCCAGGAGCUUCUUUCUCCAUGUGCCAUCUUAACGGGAUCGCUAGUUUCCCUUCAGAGAUCUGUUUUCAACCCUUGUCUUCCUUUAAUUAUAACAACACAGCAUUUUGGAAGACAGAACAAAGGGAAAAUAUAUCUCCUUGAAUAAACUUA
Long non-coding RNA from Suricata suricatta (meerkat), 685 nucleotides. RefSeq lists it as uncharacterized. The record is from RefSeq and is a predicted model, not a curated record. Lineage: Eukaryota; Metazoa; Chordata; Mammalia; Carnivora; Herpestidae. The transcript is spliced from 3 exons.